Ipomoea nil (Japanese morning glory) is the source of this 132-nucleotide long non-coding RNA. RefSeq lists it as uncharacterized. Lineage: Eukaryota; Viridiplantae; Streptophyta; Magnoliopsida; Solanales; Convolvulaceae. The record is from RefSeq and is a predicted model, not a curated record. The transcript has 3 exons.
UUAUUUAAUUUAUUGUGCCCUUAAAGACACGAGUGGAGCAAUAACCGAAUGAGUAAAAUAAUAUGCUUAAUCUAUCCUUAAAAGGCACUAAAUUCACCUAAAAGGCACUAUAACAUGCAUAAUAGGCAUAUA